RNAcentral lists this ribosomal RNA (596 nucleotides) under uncultured archaeon. RNAcentral describes it as "bacterial SSU rRNA". It matches the Rfam family "Archaeal small subunit ribosomal RNA", at positions 52 to 649 of the family's 1478-position model. The record is from RNAcentral.
UGCUAGUCGCACGAGUUCAUACUCGUGGCAUAUAGCUCAGUAACACGUGGCCAAACUACCCUGUGGACCAGCAUAACCUCGGGAAACUGAGGCUAAUUCUGGAUAUCGCCCGCAUCCUGGAGUGGAGCGGGCGUGAAACGUUCCGGCGCCACAGGAUGUGGCUGCGGCCGAUUAGGUAGACGGUGGGGUAACGGCCCACCGUGCCCAUAAUCGGUACGGGUGAUGAGAGUCAGAACCCGGAGACGGUAUCUGAGACAAGAUUCCGGGCCCUACGGGGCGCAGCAGGCGCGAAACCUUUACACUGCACGACAGUGCGAUAGGGGGACUCCGAGUGCGAGGGCAUAGAGCCCUCGCUUUUCUGCACCGUAAGGUGGUGCAGGAAGAAGGGCUGGGCAAGACCGGUGCCAGCCGCCGCGGUAAUACCGGCAGCCCAAGUGAUGGCCGAUAUUAUUGGGCCUAAAGCGUCCGUAGCUGGCCGGACAAGUCCGUUGGGAAAUCCGCACGCUUAACGUGCGGGCGUCCAGCGGAAACUGUCCGGCUUGGGACCGGAAGACCCGAGGGGUACGUCCGGGGUAGGAGUGAAAUCCCGUAAUCUC